Molecule: ribosomal RNA, 492 nt
Filed under: uncultured bacterium
Lineage: Bacteria
Description: partial 16S ribosomal RNA
Rfam family: Bacterial small subunit ribosomal RNA
Source: RNAcentral
AGUGAACGCUGGCGGUAGGCCUAACACAUGCAAGUCGAACGGCAGCACAGUGAGAGCUUGCUCUUACGGGUGGCGAGUGGCGGACGGGUGAGGAAUACAUCGGAAUCUACUUUUUCGUGGGGGAUAACGUAGGGAAACUUACGCUAAUACCGCAUACGACCUACGGGUGAAAGCAUGGGAUCUUCGGACCUUGCGCGAUUGAAUGAGCCGAUGUCGGAUUAGCUAGUUGGCGGGGUAAAGGCCCACCAAGGCGACGAUCCGUAGCCGGUCUGAGAGGAUGAUCAGCCACACUGGAAGUGAGACACGGUCCAGACUCCUGCGAGAGGCAGCAGUGGGGAAUAUUGGACAAUGGGCGCAAGCCUGAUCCAGCCAUACCGCGUGGGUGAAGAAGGCCUUCGGGUUGUGAAGCCCUUUUGUUGGGAGAGAAAAGCAGCAGGUUAAUACCCCGCUGUUCUGACGGUACCCAAAGAAUAAGCACCGGCUAACUUCGUG